UUUCCGUAGGUGAACCUGCGGAAGGAUCAUUAUUGGACUUUGAAACUUCAGGCUGCUGCUGGCUCUCCUCGGAGGGCAUGUGCACGCUUGUUGUCCAUUAUUUCUCCCACUGUGCACAAAUUGUAGACCUUUCAGUAGGCCUAUGUUGUUUUUCACAAUCUCUGAAUGUAAUAGAAUGGUUUUGAAUCUUGGGAAAUACAAUACAACUUUCAGCAACGGAUCUCUUGGCUCUCGCACGAUGAAGAACGCAGC
RNAcentral lists this unclassified non-coding RNA (252 nucleotides) under plant metagenome. RNAcentral's name for it is "partial contains small subunit ribosomal RNA, internal transcribed spacer 1, and 5.8S ribosomal RNA". The stretch from base 205 to 252 matches the Rfam family "5.8S ribosomal RNA", at positions 1 to 49 of the family's 154-position model. The record is from RNAcentral.